GCUAAAGAACUACUCGGCCCCUUUCUGCCCGCAGGGAGCUUACAGUCUCCUUUAACUGGGUCCUGACCACUUCCAGUGUCCUCUACUUCCUUCUGCUUUUCUCCUGGAGUCUAGACUGCCUCUCCCUUUACCAGCUGUUCUGCCCCAAAUAGCUAUUGUGUGCACUUGGCCCAACUCCCAAGAGCAAGUACUUAGGAAUUCUACAGAAAACACGUCACCUAAAAUACAGCUGAGCUUUCAAGACAAGCUAUGAGUGCUUUAGAGGAGUUAUAGCUGCUGGACAGCAGCAACUGGACAAUGACUCCCAGCUGGGCCGGCUGGAGUGUUUCUGCCCGGGUUUACGCAAGCUUUCUGCGGCAUGUUGCCAAACCCAGCUCCCCAUGUUGCAAAGAUGUAUGGCAGUGCGGCAUUUCUCGGGGAUGGGAAGUAACGUGUGCAAGGAUGCCCCUACAAGUGGGCGUCUUGUCUCCGGUCAGCACCUUGCUGCUGCUGCUGUGCUCAGAGCCGAGGCCCAGUAAGAAAGGGCGCUUUCCGAUUUGCCUCACCGUCUCCGGAACUUUCCUGGUGCUUAUGGACAAUUAAGUAUUAAUGGAGCCCCCCUUCUCGUGUCUGGAGUCGCCAGAUGGAACAUGGACGCCCAGUGAAAUCUGAACGUCAGAUAGACAAGAAAUGACGUUUUCAUGCAACAUCAUUCUCCGUGGAGGGGCCGUCCCGCACACUGGAGGGUGUUGAGCAUUGUCCCUGGGUCUCCACCACCAGAUGCCAGCUGGCUCCCCCACUCGUGACCACCGAAAACAUCUUCAAGUUUUCCCCCAUGGCAGGGGCGGGCGCGGGGGCGGCCCGAAGAGAGACCCUCGGUCUAACCAUGGGGGGUAGAGCUGUUCCUCAGAGCUGAGAUUUGCAUUUCCAGCAAAUUCUGGGCCCUGCUUGGUAGUCGGCCCCCUCCCCAGCUCUGGGAAGGAAAUCUCUUCUCACCGUCACUGUCACCAGCAGGCAUGAAAGACAUUGGACGUUUGCAACUUAAUAAGAAAAAUGCGAGCUCCGCUGGCCCAGGGGAGCCUUGAACUCAGCGAUCUGUGCUGUUUACCUCAAACAAUGACUUAUGAACCACAGAGGGUUCGUCCCAUGCCGGUGUGUGCAGGGCAAGAAAAACCAGAGGGGCGGUCAGCUCUCCCAGCCUGACUCAUGAGCCGCUGUGCCGGGAACAUGGCCAAGGCCUGACUCAUGGCCUGCAAUGUCACACCUGCGCCUGUGGCCUCGGGGGACAGUGCCCCUCUGAGAAAAUAGUGGCUAAACCCAUGGCAAUCAGGUCUGACCCUUGGAAGCCGUGCGGGACCCCUGAUGGCCUUGAACACGCAGGAGGCCUGGGCCGUUUGUUAGGAGGGAGGCUGAAUUAGCCGUGGAGGGUGGUGCUGGGCAGAGACCCCUGCAGAAAGGGGGAGGGGAGGGGAGUUUCAGAUAUGCACCUUCUGGCUCUGUGUAUUUCUUUUUAACUUUUUAUUUAUUUAUUAAAAAAAUUUUUUUUAACGUUUA
Molecule: long non-coding RNA, 1533 nt
Organism: Lynx canadensis (Canada lynx)
Lineage: Eukaryota; Metazoa; Chordata; Mammalia; Carnivora; Felidae
Exons: 3
Source: RefSeq, a predicted model, not a curated record